UAAACUAGGAUUAGAUACCCUAUUAUUGAUUUUGAUUAAAUAUUGAUUAUUUUUGGUAAAAUUAAAUAAAUUGGCGGUUUUUUUUCUAAUUAGAGGAAUUUGUUUUUUGAAAAGGACAUAACUCCAUAAUGUUUACUUUAUUUAAGGUUUUUAUAUCGCUGUUUUCAAAAUAUCUAAGAUUAGAUUUUUGUAAUUUAUUAGUUAAGAAAUUCAAGUCAAGGUGAAGCUAUAUUAAAGAGAAAAUGAAUUACAAUAAAUAUAUUUAGAUAACGGAAAUAGAUUUUUAAUAUCUUUUGAAGGUGGAUUUAAUAGUAAUAUUUUUAGAAAAAUUUUGAAUAGAGAUUAGGAAAAUGUACAUAUCGCCCGNCNCUNUC
This 374-nucleotide ribosomal RNA is filed under the name Austropurcellia forsteri. RNAcentral describes it as "partial 12S ribosomal RNA". Lineage: Eukaryota; Metazoa; Arthropoda; Arachnida; Opiliones; Pettalidae. The record is from RNAcentral.